GGGGUGUAUGUGUUUUAUAAUUUUUAUUUGAUUAUCUAUAACUUUUAACUUUUCUCUGUGCUUUUGUAAUAAGGAAAAAAAUGAAGUGAAAGAUUUAAAAAAAAUACUUAUAAUGACCAGGAGAGAUGGGAAGAUCAUGAUGCUAACCAACAGGUAGAUUUAUGGUCAUCAAAAAUAUGCUAUGCUGACUUCAUUGGAUACAAAACUGAAUUAACCACACACUGCACCUUAAGGGAGUACCCAGUCUAGUUUGAGGACAACAAAUAGCAGUACUGUAAUGCAGUGAUCUCCGAAGUGAGGUACAAACCCUCCAGGAAAUGUGCAAGAUGAUCUGUUGGGAUACAGAGGAAAACAACAGAUUUUCUAAUUAUG
This 372-nucleotide long non-coding RNA is filed under the name Mustela putorius furo (domestic ferret). RNAcentral describes it as "lncRNA (ENSMPUG00000029199.1)". The record is from RNAcentral. Lineage: Eukaryota; Metazoa; Chordata; Mammalia; Carnivora; Mustelidae.